RNAcentral lists this ribosomal RNA (440 nucleotides) under uncultured bacterium. RNAcentral's name for it is "bacterial SSU rRNA". It matches the Rfam family "Bacterial small subunit ribosomal RNA", at positions 338 to 795 of the family's 1533-position model. The record is from RNAcentral.
CCUACGGGGGGCUGCAGUGGGGAAUCUUGCACAAUGGGGGAAACCCUGAUGCAGCAACGCCGCGUGCGCGAUGAAGGCCUUCGGGUCGUAAAGCUCUGUCCUACGGGAAGAAUCCUGACGGUACCUUAGGAGGAAGCCGCGGCAAAUAACGUUCCAGCAGCCGGGGUAAUACGCAGGGGGAGCGCGUUAUCCGGAAUUACUGGGGGUAAAGGGUGCGGAGGCGGGAAUUCAAGUGAGGGGUGAAGGUCUUGGGCUAAACCGUAGUAAGCAUUUGAAACUGAAGCGCUUGAGUGAAGGAGAGGAGAGUGGAAUUCCCGGUGUAGCGGUGAAAUGCGUAGAUAUUGGGAGGAACACCAGUGGCGAAGGCGGCUCUCUGGACUGUAGCUGGCGCUGAGGCACGAAAGCGUGGGGAGCAAACAGGAUUAGAUACCCGAGUAGUC